GCCGGGGUGGCGAAAGGGCAGACGCGGCGGACUUAAAACCCGCUUCCCGCAAGGGAGUGCAGGUUCGAAUCCUGCCCCCGGCACCA
RNAcentral lists this transfer RNA (86 nucleotides) under Gemmatimonadota bacterium. RNAcentral describes it as "Gemmatimonadetes bacterium (freshwater metagenome) tRNA-Leu". It matches the Rfam family "tRNA". From Rfam's summary of the family: Transfer RNA (tRNA) molecules are approximately 80 nucleotides in length. Their secondary structure includes four short double-helical elements and three loops (D, anti-codon, and T loops). Further hydrogen bonds mediate the characteristic L-shaped molecular structure. tRNAs have two regions of fundamental functional importance: the anti-codon, which is responsible for specific mRNA codon recognition, and the 3' end, to which the tRNAs corresponding amino acid is attached (by aminoacyl-tRNA synthetases). tRNAs cope with the degeneracy of the genetic code in two manners: having more than one tRNA (with a specific anti-codon) for a particular amino acid; and 'wobble' base-pairing, i.e. permitting non-standard base-pairing at the 3rd anti-codon position. The record is from RNAcentral. Lineage: Bacteria; Pseudomonadati; Gemmatimonadota.